Molecule: long non-coding RNA, 452 nt
Filed under: Numida meleagris (helmeted guineafowl)
Lineage: Eukaryota; Metazoa; Chordata; Aves; Galliformes; Numididae
Description: lncRNA (ENSNMEG00000004128.1)
Source: RNAcentral
UGUCCGUCUGUCCCCGGCCGUCUGUCCCCAUCCGUGUCCGUCUGUCUGUCCCUGUCUGUCCCCAUCCCUGUCCGUCUGUCCCUGUCUGUCCCCAUCCGUGUCCGUCUGUCCCCGUCCUUGUCCGUCUGUCCCUGUCCCCAUCCAUGUCCGUCUGUCCGUCCCCAUCUGUCCCUGUCCCCAUCCCUGUCCGUCUGUCCCCAUCCGUGUCCGUCUGUCCCUGUCCCCGCCCCUGUCCGUCUGUCCCUGGCCGUCUGUCCCCAUCCGUGUCCGUCUGUCCCUACCCGUGUCCGUCCGUCUGUCCCCAUCCGUCCGUCCCCGUCCCUGUCCAUCUGUCUGUCCCUGUCUGUCCCCAUCCAUGUCCGUCUGUCUGUCCUCAUCCGUCCGUCCCCAUCCCUGUCUGUCCGUCUGUCCCCAUCCGUGUCCGUCUGUCCCUGUCCCCAUCCCUGUCCGUC